UACGUAGGCAGCAAGCGUUGUUCGGAGUUACUGGGCGUAAAGGGUGUGUAAGCGGCCCCCUAAGUUUGGUGUGAAAUCUCCCGGCUUAACCGGGAGGGUGCGCCGAAGACUGGAGGGCUAGAGUGCGGGAUGGGAGAGUGGAAUUCCUGGUGUAGCGGUGAAAUGCGUAGAUAUCAGGAGGAGCACCUGUGGUGUAGACGGCUCUCUGGACCGCAACUGACGCUGAGACACGAAAGCGUGGGUAGCAAACAGG
RNAcentral lists this ribosomal RNA (253 nucleotides) under uncultured bacterium. Its description in RNAcentral is "partial 16S ribosomal RNA". It matches the Rfam family "Bacterial small subunit ribosomal RNA", at positions 524 to 776 of the family's 1533-position model. The record is from RNAcentral.